GUGAGGAAUAUUGGUCAAUGGGCGGAAGCCUGAACCAGCCAAGUAGCGUGCAGGAUGACGGCCCUAUGGGUUGUAAACUGCUUUUAUACAGGAAUAAAGUUAGCCACGUGUGGUUAUUUGUAGGUACUGUAUGAAUAAGGACCGGCUAAUUCCGUGCCAGCAGCCGCGGUAAUACGGAAGGUCCAGGCGUUAUCCGGAUUUAUUGGGUUUAAAGGGAGCGUAGGCCGUCUGUUAAGCGUGUUGUGAAAUGUAGAUGCUCAACAUCUGAAUUGCAGCGCGAACUGGCAGACUUGAGUGUGCGCGACGUAGGCGGAAGUCGUGGUGUAGCGGUGAAAUGCUUAGAUAUCACGAAGAACUCCGAUUGCGAAGGCAGCUUACGGGAGCACAACUGACGCUGAAGCUCGAAAGUGCGGGUAUCGAACAGGAUUAGAUACCCGGGUAGUCC
Molecule: ribosomal RNA, 445 nt
Filed under: uncultured bacterium
Lineage: Bacteria
Description: partial 16S ribosomal RNA
Rfam family: Bacterial small subunit ribosomal RNA
Source: RNAcentral